Molecule: non-coding RNA, 73 nt
Organism: Mycena olivaceomarginata
Lineage: Eukaryota; Fungi; Basidiomycota; Agaricomycetes; Agaricales; Mycenaceae
Source: the annotation of a GenBank genome assembly
GGCACUUUAGCUCAGUGGUUAGAGCACUUCUCAUGAAGUAAAGAGGUCGCAGGUUCAAUUCCUGCAAGAGCCA